UCUCACUCUGUCACCCAGGCUGGAGUGCAGUGGCACAAUCAUGGUUCACUGCAGCCUGGACGUCCUGGGCUCAAGCGAUGCUCUGAUGCUCCAGAAAUGGGAAAGGUUCCCCUGUCCCCCUCACAGGGUGUGUGAUCUGGGGAGUGGCUCCCUUCUUCGGUGUCCCACUGCUCAAAUCUCUAGGCACAAUCCUGAGUUACUCCGCCGCUACUGAGUGAACCCAGUGAAUGUAGUGGAUGGCCCAGUACCGACGUCCCAGGACUGCUGGCUGUUCUUUCCUGGUUAUGACAGACAUAGUAACUAAUAAAGUGAUUUAAAACGUUCUUUGUAAAUAAAUGCUCUGAAAUCAUGACGCUGACCCUCUCAAAUGUCUAAGGAGGGACUCUCCAUGAGUGACAUGCUUUGUGUUAAAAGUAUUUAUUUGCAAUCAGGGACUUCGGUCUGUGGUGGCCGUUUCUAAAAGCUGUCUAACAUGUCUUUAAAUACCAUGCCCGGAAGUGGCUUCCGUUUAUGGAAGUCUCAGUUUCUGGUUUCUGGAAGUU
Molecule: long non-coding RNA, 542 nt
Filed under: Callithrix jacchus (white-tufted-ear marmoset)
Lineage: Eukaryota; Metazoa; Chordata; Mammalia; Primates; Cebidae
Description: lncRNA (ENSCJAG00000077580.1)
Source: RNAcentral